This 465-nucleotide ribosomal RNA is filed under the name Vreelandella stevensii. RNAcentral's name for it is "partial 16S ribosomal RNA". It matches the Rfam family "Bacterial small subunit ribosomal RNA", at positions 338 to 795 of the family's 1533-position model. Lineage: Bacteria; Pseudomonadati; Pseudomonadota; Gammaproteobacteria; Oceanospirillales; Halomonadaceae. The record is from RNAcentral.
CCUACGGGUGGCUGCAGUGGGGAAUAUUGGACAAUGGGCGAAAGCCUGAUCCAGCCAUGCCGCGUGUGUGAAGAAGGCCUUCGGGUUGUAAAGCACUUUCAGUGGGGAAGAAAGCCUUGGGGCUAAUACCCUCGAGGAAGGACAUCACCCACAGAAGAAGCACCGGCUAACUCCGUGCCAGCAGCCGCGGUAAUACGGAGGGUGCGAGCGUUAAUCGGAAUUACUGGGCGUAAAGCGCGCGUAGGCGGUCUGAUAAGCCGGUUGUGAAAGCCCCGGGCUCAGCCUGGGAACGGCAUCCGGAACUGUCAGGCUAGAGUGCAGGAGAGGAAGGUAGAAUUCCCGGUGUAGCGGUGAAAUGCGUAGAGAUCGGGAGGAAUACCAGUGGCGAAGGCGGCCUUCUGGACUGACACUGACGCUGAGGUGCGAAAGCGUGGGUAGCAAACAGGAUUAGAUACCCUAGUAGUC